AAAAUCUAACUUUUGAGGCUAGCAUCUCUUGACUCUUUUGGGGUCUAGGAUCUAGUUUUCAUCAACCCACCUUUGUGAACUGUUUUCUGUAUUUUGGACGUGGGUUAGUGUUAGUCGUAAGACAAAGCACUUGGAAGCGGGCCUUUGGGCUCGACCCGUCCAACGGGACUUGAGAUCUCGAUCUCCUGGCCCAACCCUUUAAGCCUAUAAUUUUGAAAAACUUUGUCUAGAAUUUUUUGGAUCUAUUUUAAGAUAAAAAAAAAA
Molecule: unclassified non-coding RNA, 264 nt
Filed under: soil metagenome
Description: partial internal transcribed spacer 1
Source: RNAcentral